Molecule: long non-coding RNA, 790 nt
Filed under: Medicago truncatula (barrel medic)
Lineage: Eukaryota; Viridiplantae; Streptophyta; Magnoliopsida; Fabales; Fabaceae
Description: lncRNA gene2107
Source: RNAcentral
UUGCAUACUUGAUCUCUGUUAAUAAUCCAUUCAAAUUAUAGUUAUUGCAUCUUAGAGGAAGUAUUGAAAAGUGGUUGGCAGGUAGCUUCUCAGAAAAUCGAUGUGCAGUUUUAAACCUCCGAGUAACCUUUUUCUCUUUGUUAGGACUUUCAAGUACAAUUGCUUUGUCUGUGCAGGAAUGAGAAAUUUGGAGAUAAUUUCACUGUCAUCUCAGUCUGUUUUAGGAAUGAGCUCUAUUUUGGACCUAGUACAAUUGAAUCCUGUUCCUUGACAUUUGGGUUUAUAAGGAUUUUUCUUAAUUCUUAAUCAAAUGCUUCAACAAGUUUAAUAACCAUUCUGCCAUUGAUCUUUGGUAGUUUUGGAGUUAGGAUGCAUCUAAGAACAUAUACAUGUGGGAAUUGAAAUGCAGCUAAGAACUUGCAGAAAUGGAAAGUGAAGGCUAUGAAUAAGGAUUCUGGUGAAGUUGAGGAAUAUGAUGGAAGGUUUUUGGUAAUGGCUAGUGGCGAAACUAGUGAACCUUUUCUGCCUGAAAUUGAAGGGUAGAAGAGAUGCAAUGGGGAAGUGAUUCAUUCAACUGGGUUUAAGAAUGAGAAAGAGUUUAAAGAUGAAUUAACAUGUUCUUUUUGUUGGAUCUGGGAAUUCUGGCAUGGAAACUGCUUUGGAUCUUGCCGGUGUAAAGUUAUUUUACACGUGUACCGAAUGAUGUGUUGUCAUGUUUUGUUUUGAACCUUUCUGUACCAUCAAAAUGAAGAUUGAACUUAUUUAUAAUCAAAUUUUAAGACUAUAUUAU